AUGGAAGAAGCGAUGUUGGUGAGGUUCAAUCCGAAGACGAAUUUAUGCUUAUUUUCGUAAAGAACGAUCUCAGAUUGAGCCGCGCCAAUAUCACUUCUUAUUUUCAUUCCGU
Molecule: microRNA precursor, 112 nt
Filed under: Solanum lycopersicum (tomato)
Lineage: Eukaryota; Viridiplantae; Streptophyta; Magnoliopsida; Solanales; Solanaceae
Source: RNAcentral